UUGGAGGGCAGUCUGGUGCCAGCAGCCGCGGUAAUUCCAGCUCCAAUAGCGUAUAUUAAAGUUGUUGCAGUUAAAAAGCUCGUAGUUGAAUUUCGGGAUCAAAUUGUCGGUCGUGCCUCGGUACGCACUGGUAUUAUUGGUUCCUACCCUCUGAAGAACCGCGAUGUCAUUAAUUUGGUGUCGUGGGGAAUCAGGACUGUUACUUUGAAAAAAUUAGAGUGUUUAAAGCAGGCUUACGCUUGAAUACAUUAGCAUGGAAUAAUGAAAUAGGACGUUUGAUUCUAUUUUGUUGGUUUCUAGGAUUGACGUAAUGAUUAAUAGGGAUAGUUGGGGGCAUUAGUAUUCAAUUGUCAGAGGUGAAAUUCUUGGAUUUAUUGAAGACUAACUACUGCGAAAGCAUUUGCCAAGGAUGUUUUCAUUAAUCAAGAACGAAAGUUAGGGGAUCGAAGACGAUCAGAUACCGUCGUAGUCUUAACCAUAAACUAUGCCGACUAGGGAUCGGAUGAUGUUAAUUUUUUAAUGACUCAUUCGGCGCCUUACGGGAAAC
This 547-nucleotide ribosomal RNA is filed under the name uncultured Glomeromycotina. RNAcentral describes it as "SSU rRNA". It matches the Rfam family "Eukaryotic small subunit ribosomal RNA", at positions 548 to 1098 of the family's 1831-position model. Lineage: Eukaryota; Fungi; Glomeromycota. The record is from RNAcentral.